AGGGGUAUAGCUCAGUUGGUAGAGCAUCGGUCUCCAAAACCGAGUGUCCCGAGUUCAAAUCUUGGUGCCCCUGCCA
RNAcentral lists this transfer RNA (76 nucleotides) under Clostridiales bacterium. RNAcentral's name for it is "tRNA-Trp". It matches the Rfam family "tRNA". Rfam says of the family: Transfer RNA (tRNA) molecules are approximately 80 nucleotides in length. Their secondary structure includes four short double-helical elements and three loops (D, anti-codon, and T loops). Further hydrogen bonds mediate the characteristic L-shaped molecular structure. tRNAs have two regions of fundamental functional importance: the anti-codon, which is responsible for specific mRNA codon recognition, and the 3' end, to which the tRNAs corresponding amino acid is attached (by aminoacyl-tRNA synthetases). tRNAs cope with the degeneracy of the genetic code in two manners: having more than one tRNA (with a specific anti-codon) for a particular amino acid; and 'wobble' base-pairing, i.e. permitting non-standard base-pairing at the 3rd anti-codon position. The record is from RNAcentral. Lineage: Bacteria; Bacillati; Bacillota; Clostridia; Eubacteriales.